Ictalurus punctatus (channel catfish) is the source of this 2741-nucleotide long non-coding RNA. The record is from Ensembl. Lineage: Eukaryota; Metazoa; Chordata; Actinopteri; Siluriformes; Ictaluridae.
UGAAACACCGCUCACAUGUAGCGUUCACUGAUAUAUAUAUAUAUAUAUAUACACACACACACACACACACAUAAAUGCCUCCCAUCCCCCAACCACCGCCAUUUUGUUUUGCUGAUGGAUGUGCACGAAAAAUGUGACCCCGAAAAAGUGUGUGAGUGAGUGUGUGUGUGAGUGAGUGAGUGAGUGUGUGUGUGUGAGUGAGUGAGUGUGUGUGUGAGUGAGUGAGUGAGUGUGUGUGUCUAAAAUGUGAGAGUUUGUACUGUUAGUGUCACUGGAAGUUUUGUUUUCCCUCAGUUCUGUCGUUAACAUAUCAAACCCGAAGCGCGUGCACGGAAUACCGCUAUUUUUUUUCUUUCUUAAACGUACGUGAUGACGUCAUGACGCAGCUAUGGUUACUGGUUUUUCUGUAUCCACGCGUACUUUUUUAGCCACAACAAAGUGCUUCACUUCCGGUGUGUUGGAGAAAUGUUAGACGGUGGAAGCGUUCAACUCCGAACACACACACACACACACACGCUCUCACACGCACUCACACGCGCUCGGCGUUUGGAGCGAGUUUAUCUGUAGUAUUAAUCAGUCCGGCCGGGAGAUAAAGCGACCCUUUCAUCCAGAGACGCUCAUGGCUGAGACAGGAGCCGGUGCCGCUGGGGUCUGAACUCGCACCCUUGUGAUCAGUAAAAGAAAGACGGGGAGAUGGUGAAAGUCCUGUGUGGCGCUACUUAAUAAUUAGCAUAACAGCACAGUGCCGAGUUCUGGAUUGUGAUUGGUCAGAAGGUAUUGAUUCAUUUUCUAUAAAACGUAUAUUUUAUAUGAACAUGCUCGUUCUGAUACGUUAUGGUUUCUGUAGUGACUGCUCAUUCACAGGGACAUGUACAGCGCGUGUGUGUGUGUGUGUGUGUGUGUGUGUGUGUGUGUGUGCGUGUUGUAUCAGAUUCUGUAGCUGUUGUUUUAGGGAUUUGGUUUCCAAAUAGCCUGCAGACAGAACGUGUCAUCACCUCCACCUCCACCUCCACCAUUACAUUACACACACUCACCUCCACCUGUUCAUUUAAUCCCCACACACAGCUCCUCCGCCGUGAGGAAACAAAACCUGGCUGUGAUGCCGCUUUAAACACACCCUAAACACAAUGCUCCACAUCACUCCCUGUUCACUCGGACCGCCGCAGAGAGAUCAUCCCUGAGGAGGAGGAUCGAGAUCCGUGUAAUGAUCGUGUAACGCACGUGGAUGACGCGACUACGACAGGAGUACUCCACACGUCCUAAUUCCAUCUGUGUUCACUUCAAGUAUGACUUUAAUCAGAUUAAGGUCCUCGAUAAUCUCCGUUUACAUGCUAGAUUCUUAAUCAGAGUAUCGUCUUAACCGGGGUGACAUCGGAUUCUUGUCGUCCGUGUAAACGCACCGACUGUCAACGCAAAUGGAAGUAAGACGCGUGGAGUGUUCCUGUGUUAGUCGCAUUAUCCACGUGCGUCAUGUACACACCUUAAUCACACUGCUAAUGCCGUGUGGGAGUUUUCACCACAUUUUGCAACAAGACACGUGUAUACACACACACACACACACACACACACACACACACACACACACACUGCAGCGCUCAACCGGUUGACGGCAAACAAGAGAGCAUGGCUUCAAGCAAGAAGGUACGUUUAACUCUGAGUUUGUGGCGGUGACGGGAAGGAAGCGGUGCUGAAGGAGGAAUGUUGCUGGAGGGUUUGUAUCCGCAGUCGUCCAUCUGCACGCACAGCACGACUACCGAUGAACCGCACUUGAAGCUUUCGUAAAAUUAAAAAUGAAACCGUAACACAGACGUCACGUGAGAUUCUGGGGGGGACGGCGUGGCGUGGGGACGUAAUGAGGUGGCGACUCGUGUAAACACCUUAAUCAGAAUACUGUCUCAUUCUUAUUCAUCUGUUCAUCUGUAGAUGGAGGACGGUGUUUGUGUUAAACAUUAAACAGGUGCAAUUUGUAGAUCUGGUCUCUGGACACACACACACACACACACACACACACACACACACACACACGUCUUCGCGUUAGUGCCUGAAUUUCUGACUCGAUCACGCCGGUUCUCAUGAGGCUGGAACAAAAGAAAGAAGAGGAGGAAGAAGAAGAGGGCCGCUUUUCUGUGCUUGGGUGUUAUUUUUAGUUCGUCUGUUCCCCUGCCUGCUAACACACUUUCACUCGGCAUGAACAUGGAGUCAGCUCUCCACAGGUGAUUAGAUAAAUAAAUGUAAAUCUCCAGAACACAUCACAUUCCUUCAGAUCUACAGCUCCAUCCCACAACCCGUUCACACGGCGUGUUCGAUUCGCUUCCCGCAGUGAGUCGAUUCAGUGUCGAUUCACUCUCUCUCACUGGGACGCAGCCCGAUGCCACCCCGGUCUAGACCCGCGUGUGUACGCUGUGUUCUCACCUGCCUAAAGAAGCGCACAGGGGAGGAGAACACACCCCACCGCGCCUGUGAAAGCCGUUAAAAUGUUUGGUUUUACUCGAGUGUGGUAGAACGGAAUCUCAAAAUGGAGGACGGGGAAACUUGAGCUUGUUUAACUGACUGUAAACGGGUUAAUUAGUGUUGGUUCUAGCAGCCUGGCUCAGAGCGCUACAGCUUCAGCACGGAUCAGGAUCCGGAUCAGCGCCCCGAGAGAGGCGGCUUUAACAAACACUAAUUAAUCCGAGAGAGGAAGAUGAGACGAGCUCAGGUUAAAGCGGAUAAGAGUCUGUGGUGAUGAGAGCUGAUGGAUA